UCGGUAAACUUCCGUAUUUCAAGAACGAACACAUUCUGAGGGUACCGGUCCAGGUAUUUGACGGUAUUGACCAGGAAGCCCCGGCCUACUUCCGUGCCAGCAGCCGCGGUAAUACGUAGGUGCAAGCGGUGUCCGGAUUUAUUGGGCGUAAAGCGGAGCGCAGGCGGUUUUUUAAGUCUGAUGUGAAAGCCUUCCGCUUCACCCGAAGAAGUGCAUCGGAAACUGGAAACUUGAGUGCAGAAGAGGACAGUGGAACUCCAUGUGUAGCGGUGAAAUGCGUAGAUAUAUGGAAGAACACCAGUGGCGAAGGCGGCUGUCUGGUCUGUAACUGACGCUGAGGCUCGAAAGUAUGGGUAGCAAACAGGAUUAGAUACCCUGGUAGUCCAUACCGUAAACGAUGAAUGCUAAGUGUUGGAGGGUUUCCGCCCUUCAGUGCUGCAGCUAACGCAUUAAGCAUUCCGCCUGGGGAGUACGGCCGCAAGGCUGAAACUCAAAGGAAUUGACGGGGGCCCGCACAAGCGGUGGAGCAUGUGGUUUAAUUCGAAGCUACGCGAAGAACCUUACCAGGUCUUGACAUACUAUGCAAAUCUAAGAGAUUAGACGUUCCCUUCGGGGACAUGGAUACAGGUGGUGCAUGGUUGUCGUCAGCUCGUGUCGUGAGAUGUUGGGUUAAGUCCCGCAACGAGCGCAACCCUUAUUAUCAGUUGCCAGCAUUAAGUUGGGCACUCUGGUGAGACUGCCGGUGACAAACCGGAGGAAGGUGGGGAUGACGUCAAAUCAUCAUGCCCCUUAUGACCUGGGCUACACACGUGCUACAAUGGAUGGUACAACGAGUUGCGAACUCGCGAGAGUAAGCUAAUCUCUUAAAGCCAUUCUCAGUUCGGAUUGUAGGCUGCAACUCGCCUACAUGAAGUCGGAAUCGCUAGUAAUCGCGGAUCAGCAUGCCGCGGUGAAUACGUUCCCGGGCCUUGUACACACCGCCCGUCACACCAUGAGAGUUUGUAACACCCAAAGUCGGUAGGGUAACCUUUAGGAACCAGCCGCCUAAGUGAGAGAGAUUGGUAC
This 1065-nucleotide ribosomal RNA is filed under the name Lactiplantibacillus plantarum. RNAcentral describes it as "bacterial SSU rRNA". It matches the Rfam family "Bacterial small subunit ribosomal RNA", at positions 422 to 1478 of the family's 1533-position model. The record is from RNAcentral. Lineage: Bacteria; Bacillati; Bacillota; Bacilli; Lactobacillales; Lactobacillaceae.